GGGGCUGUGCCUGAAAUAAAGGACCACUUUGAUGUAGUGAAUCAUGAAGGUUAAAGUCCUUCUGGCCCCU
This 70-nucleotide transfer RNA is filed under the name Dario dayingensis. RNAcentral describes it as "tRNA-Ile". It matches the Rfam family "tRNA". From Rfam's summary of the family: Transfer RNA (tRNA) molecules are approximately 80 nucleotides in length. Their secondary structure includes four short double-helical elements and three loops (D, anti-codon, and T loops). Further hydrogen bonds mediate the characteristic L-shaped molecular structure. tRNAs have two regions of fundamental functional importance: the anti-codon, which is responsible for specific mRNA codon recognition, and the 3' end, to which the tRNAs corresponding amino acid is attached (by aminoacyl-tRNA synthetases). tRNAs cope with the degeneracy of the genetic code in two manners: having more than one tRNA (with a specific anti-codon) for a particular amino acid; and 'wobble' base-pairing, i.e. permitting non-standard base-pairing at the 3rd anti-codon position. The record is from RNAcentral. Lineage: Eukaryota; Metazoa; Chordata; Actinopteri; Anabantiformes; Badidae.